Molecule: ribosomal RNA, 429 nt
Filed under: Actinomycetes bacterium
Lineage: Bacteria; Bacillati; Actinomycetota; Actinomycetes
Description: Actinobacteria bacterium partial 16S ribosomal RNA
Rfam family: Bacterial small subunit ribosomal RNA
Source: RNAcentral
UAGGGAAUCUUCCACAAUGGGCGAAAGCCUGAUGGAGCAACGCCGCGUGAGUGAUGAAGGCCUUCGGGUUGUAAAACUCUGUCAUUCGGGACGAACCGGAGUCUGAGGAAAUGCAGACUCUCUGACGGUACCGGAGGAGGAAGCCCCGGCUAACUACGUGCCAGCAGCCGCGGUAAUACGUAGGGGGCAAGCGUUGUCCGGAUUCACUGGGCGUAAAGCGCGCGCAGGCGGUGAUGUAAGUCUGAGGUGAAAACCCGAAGCUCAACUUCGGGACUGCCUUGGAUACUGCGUCACUUGAGGAUAGGAGAGGCAAGGGGAAUUCCACGUGUAGCGGUGAAAUGCGUAGAGAUGUGGAGGAACACCUGUGGCGAAGGCGCCUUGCUGGCCUAUUUCUGACGCUGAGGCGCGAAAGCGUGGGGGGCAAACAGG